AUUGAACGCUGGCGGCAUGCUUUACACAUGCAAGUCGAACGGUAACAGCACUUCGGUGGCUGACGAGUGGCGAACGGGUGAGUAAUACAUCGGAACGUGCCUAGUAGUGGGGGAUAACUACUCGAAAGAGUAGCUAAUACCGCAUGAGAUCUAAGGAUGAAAGCAGGGGACCUUCGGGCCUUGCGCUACUAGAGCGGCUGAUGGCAGAUUAGGUAGUUGGUGGGAUAAAAGCUUACCAAGCCGACGAUCUGUAGCUGGUCUGAGAGGACGACAGCCACACUGGGACUGAGACACGGCCCAGACUCCUACGGGAGGCAGCAGUGGGGAAUUUUGGACAAUGGGCGCAAGCCUGAUCCAGCAAUGCCGCGUGCAGGAUGAAGGCCUUCGGGUUGUAAACUGCUUUUGUACGGAACGAAAAGCCCUCUUCUAAUACAGGAGGGUCAUGACGGUACCGUAAGAAUAAGCACCGGCUAACUACGUG
This 481-nucleotide ribosomal RNA is filed under the name uncultured bacterium. Its description in RNAcentral is "partial 16S ribosomal RNA". It matches the Rfam family "Bacterial small subunit ribosomal RNA", at positions 30 to 507 of the family's 1533-position model. The record is from RNAcentral.